AAAAGCAUAUCAUGGGCUUCAUCACCAACUGUUCCACAUACAGGUGAAUUAAGCUGACCAUUUGAAAGCAUCAUGUCAAGCGGGGCUUCUUGAACAACAACUUCUACAAUACCAUCUGCUCUUGAUUCGUUCUGAGGUGUUGGAUUUUCUGAGGAAGCAUGAACAACAACUUCCACAAUACCAUCUGCUCUUGAUUCGUUCUGAGGUGUUGGAUUUUCUGAGGAAGCAUGAUGAACCCCAAGCCCCUUCAUCGGCACUGUACAAGAAUCCACUAUCCUUCGUGAAAUCGCUUGAAAGUUAUUUUUUCUAGAUCGUGGAGAACAGGAUUUUGGAGAAAAAUUGCUUGCUAGUG
Molecule: long non-coding RNA, 352 nt
Filed under: Hordeum vulgare
Lineage: Eukaryota; Viridiplantae; Streptophyta; Magnoliopsida; Poales; Poaceae
Description: long non-coding RNA (HVUL_LNC009614)
Source: RNAcentral